UACGUAGGGGGCUAGCGUUAUCCGGAAUUACUGGGCGUAAAGGGUGCGUAGGCGGUUUCUUAAGUCAGAGGUGAAAGGCUACGGCUCAACCGUAGUAAGCCUUUGAAACUGGGGAACUUGAGUGCAGGAGAGGAGAGUGGAAUUCCUAGUGUAGCGGUGAAAUGCGUAGAUAUUAGGAGGAACACCAGUUGCGAAGGCGGCUCUCUGGACUGUAACUGACACUGAGGCACGAAAGCGUGGGGAGCAAACAGG
This 252-nucleotide ribosomal RNA is filed under the name uncultured bacterium. Its description in RNAcentral is "partial 16S ribosomal RNA". It matches the Rfam family "Bacterial small subunit ribosomal RNA", at positions 524 to 776 of the family's 1533-position model. RNAcentral also lists the same sequence under 1 other name. The record is from RNAcentral.